UUAACUAUUAUAUAGUACUCAGACGACAAUAUUCAGGGUUUGAGGGUCUCUGGCAGGCACGAGCCAGCUUACGCCGGCAGCCGAGGCAGGCCUGCCAAAGCAACAAAGUAUAAUAAACAAAGGGUGGGAGAUCUACCCCGAAGGGCAGGUUCUCGGUAGUGAUCCUUCCGCAGGUUCACCUACGGAAA
RNAcentral lists this unclassified non-coding RNA (188 nucleotides) under uncultured fungus. RNAcentral describes it as "sequence contains ITS1". The record is from RNAcentral. Lineage: Eukaryota; Fungi.